Molecule: ribosomal RNA, 460 nt
Filed under: uncultured bacterium
Lineage: Bacteria
Description: partial 16S ribosomal RNA
Rfam family: Bacterial small subunit ribosomal RNA
Source: RNAcentral
CCUACGGGUGGCAGCAGUGAGGAAUAUUGGUCAAUGGACGAGAGUCUGAACCAGCCAAGUCGCGUGAAGGAUGACUGCCCUAUGGGUUGUAAACUUCUUUUAUAAAGGAAUAAAACGAGGCACGUGUGCCUUUUUGCAUGUACUUUAUGAAUAAGGAUCGGCUAACUCCGUGCCAGCAGCCGCGGUAAUACGGAGGAUCCGAGCGUUAUCCGGAUUUAUUGGGUUUAAAGGGAGCGUAGGUGGGUUGUUAAGUCAGUUGUGAAAGUUUGCGGCUCAACCGUAGAAGUGCCAUUGAGACUGGCAGACUUGAGUACAGUAGAGGUAGGCGGAAUUCGUGGUGUAGCGGUGAAAUGCUUAGAUAUCACGAAGAACCCCGAUUGCGAAGGCAGCGUACUAAACUGAGACUGACGUUGAUGCUCGAAAGUGUGGGGAUCAAACAGGAUUAGAUACCCCUGUAGUC